AACGCACAUUGCGCCCGUUAGUAUUCUAGCGGGCAGGCUUGUUCGAGCGUCAUUUCAACCCUCAAGUUUUUUUUACUUGGUCUUGAGAUAUAGCUCCUUGAAAAAGGAGCUAUUUCUUUAAAAGAAAUGACGAAAGACUUGUUUCCAAUAUAGUGAAGUAAAAUACAUCUAUCGCUGUGGAAUAGAACAAGUUCUUUUUGUCAAUAUAAAAUCGUUUUUACUAGUUGACCUCGAAUCAAGUCGGAUUACCCGCUGAACUUAA
RNAcentral lists this unclassified non-coding RNA (262 nucleotides) under uncultured fungus. Its description in RNAcentral is "sequence contains ITS2". Lineage: Eukaryota; Fungi. The record is from RNAcentral.